Molecule: ribosomal RNA, 252 nt
Filed under: uncultured bacterium
Lineage: Bacteria
Description: partial 16S ribosomal RNA
Rfam family: Bacterial small subunit ribosomal RNA
Source: RNAcentral
GACAGAGGAUGCAAGCGUUAUCCGGAAUGAUUGGGCGUAAAGCGUCUGUAGGUGGCUUUUAAGUCCGCCGUCAAAUCCCAGGGCUCAACUCUGGACAGGCGGUGGAAACUACCAAGCUGGAGUACGGUAGGGGCAGAGGGAAUUUCCGGUGGAGCGGUGAAAUGCGUAGAGAUCCGGAGGAACACCAAAGGCGAAGGCAGUGUCCUGGGGAGUACCUGACGCUCAGGUGCGAAAGCCAGGGGAGCGAACGGG